RNAcentral lists this ribosomal RNA (967 nucleotides) under Hymenolepis diminuta. RNAcentral's name for it is "16S ribosomal RNA". The stretch from base 647 to 923 matches the Rfam family "Bacterial large subunit ribosomal RNA", at positions 2074 to 2646 of the family's 2925-position model. Lineage: Eukaryota; Metazoa; Platyhelminthes; Cestoda; Cyclophyllidea; Hymenolepididae. The record is from RNAcentral.
UAUUGUAAGCUUUUUAGCUAUUAAGUUUUUAUUUUUGGUUUAUUUGCCUUUUGCAUCAUGCUUUAUAGAGGUUUAAGUUGAGGCUAUUUACCGAAAAGCUCAGAUCUUGUUUUUGAUCGUUUAUGAACUAAAAGUUAUUGGGUAAAUGUAAUUUGAGAUUAAAAGCAUGGGGUGAUAAAUUAACCGUUGAGUUUUAUAUCUGUUUGAUUGUUAUGUUUUCGUGUUACACACUAUGUUAUGAGAUUUAGUGUGUGUCUAUGCUAAAAAUUUUAAUAGUUUAUAAAGGGGUUAAAGUUACCCUAUUGUUGUAAGUUUGUUAUAAAUUUUUAAUAAUAUUACUGUAGCUAGAGUCUAUAUACAAUCUAUUAAAUAUUUAGUUUUUAAAUAUUAUUAAAUGAGUAAUUUUAUUAUAUUGGUUAAUUCUCGAAUUUUGCCCGUCUGUUUAUUAAAAACAUUUCUAACUUUUAUGAUAGUUAGUAUAACCUGCUCUAUGCUUAUGUAAAUGGCCGCAGUAUUUUGACUGUGCAAAGGUAGCAUAAUUAAUUGCCUUAUAAUUGAGGGCUUGUUUGAAUGGUUGGACGCGGUAAUAAUGAAUAUCCUGUAUUUUAGUGAAAUUAAUUUUGAGGGCACAGAAUCUUCAUAAGUUAAUUAGACGGAAAGACCCCGGGAUCUUUCGUUUUGCCUGGGGCAGGUGUUAAUAUUUUAUUAAUAUUUGGACCCUCUAAAGUUUAUUGGGUUAAGUUACCCCGGGGAUAACAGUGUAAUAGUUAAUAAGAGAUCUUAUCGAAUUAACUGCUUGCCACCUCGAUGUUGACUUAGAUAUUAAAGUAGGCGCAGUAGUCUAUUGUUUUGGUCUGUUCGACCUUUGUUAUCUCCAUGAGUUGAGUUAAGACCGGUGUAAGCCAGGUCGGUUCUUAUCUAUUUUAGAGAUUUAUUAGUACGAAAGGACCAUAAAUCUUUUUAUUAA